Molecule: transfer RNA, 75 nt
Filed under: Lactica sp. BMNH 846625
Lineage: Eukaryota; Metazoa; Arthropoda; Insecta; Coleoptera; Chrysomelidae
Description: tRNA-Gln
Source: RNAcentral
UAUAUUUUAGUAUAAAAUGUACAUUAAUUUUUGAUAUUAGUAGAAACAGGCUAAUCCUGUUAAAUAUAGUCUUAA